UCUCUUCAUAGGUUUUAGUUGCCUUGGUCAUCCUUGCUCACCUUCUUUGAACUUGUCUGAAUUAAUCCGAAUCUUUGACGAAAAGGGGCGCCCAGAACUGGACACAGGAGUUCAGAAUGUGUCCCGAAGAGUCUAAUCUUGCUUCAAGAUUUUCACAAACAACAAAGAUUUUAAGGUGUCACUACAGAUAGGUUUGUUGAUGGUCCAUAUGAUUCAAGAACAUGGAAAAGGAUCCAGACGGAAGUACGUGAGUCGGAAUAGAUUCAUUCUGAAAGCCUCCUCCCAUUUACGUCAGAUAGUUACCUGGAACUGCCAUCUCGUGGCAACCUGGAGGCAACGUGGAACAUUGCAGCAUUAAGAGUGGCCCCUGAAGAUCCUGGCCCUUGUGAUGGAAUGGAAUUAUGAAGGCCACACUCA
This is a long non-coding RNA of Python bivittatus (Burmese python), 417 nucleotides long. RefSeq lists it as uncharacterized. Lineage: Eukaryota; Metazoa; Chordata; Lepidosauria; Squamata; Pythonidae. The record is from RefSeq and is a predicted model, not a curated record.